CCGUCGAUAGCUCAGUUGGUAGAGCGGAGGACUGUAGAGCAAACGCGCAGCUAUCCUUAGGUCGCUGGUUCAAAUCCGGCUCGACGGA
Molecule: transfer RNA, 88 nt
Filed under: Tropilaelaps mercedesae
Lineage: Eukaryota; Metazoa; Arthropoda; Arachnida; Mesostigmata; Laelapidae
Rfam family: tRNA
About the family: Transfer RNA (tRNA) molecules are approximately 80 nucleotides in length. Their secondary structure includes four short double-helical elements and three loops (D, anti-codon, and T loops).
Source: Rfam by way of RNAcentral